This 497-nucleotide ribosomal RNA is filed under the name uncultured bacterium. RNAcentral's name for it is "partial 16S ribosomal RNA". It matches the Rfam family "Bacterial small subunit ribosomal RNA", at positions 28 to 507 of the family's 1533-position model. The record is from RNAcentral.
GAUGAACGCUGGCGGCGUGCCUAAUACAUGCAAGUCGAGCGAACGGACGAGCAGCUUGCUUCUCUGAUGUUAGCGGCGGACGGGUGAGUAACACGUGGAUAACCUCCCUAUAAGACUGGGAUAACUUCGGGAAACCGGAGCUAAUACCGGGUAAUAUUUUGAACCUCAUGGUUCAAAAGUGAAAGACGGUCUUGCUGUCACUUAUAGAUGGAUCCGCGCUGCAUUAGCUAGUUGGUAAGGUAACGGCUUACCAAGGCAACGAUGCAUAGCCGACCUGAGGGGGGGAUAGGCGGCACUGGAAGUGAGACAGCGUCAAUGCGACUACGGGACGCAGCAGUAGGGAAUCGUAGGCAAUAGGCGAAAGCCUGACGGAGCGACGGCGCGUGAGUGAUGAAGGUCUUCGGAGCGUAAUACUCUGUUAUUAGGGAAGAACAGAUGUGGAAGUAACUGUGCAGAUCGUGACGGUACCUAAUAAAAAAGCAACGGCUAACUACGUG